This is a long non-coding RNA of Gadus morhua (Atlantic cod), 1741 nucleotides long. NCBI's taxonomy places the organism in Eukaryota, Metazoa, Chordata, Actinopteri, Gadiformes, Gadidae. The record is from Ensembl.
CGGAAAAUAAGGGAAAAAGCGUUGUUGCUUUAUUCCCGUACUGUCAUCUACCUGCUUUUCAGCUCUCCCCUCUUCUUGUGUCUCCCCCACUACAUCCCUCCCUGUUUCUCAUCACCCCGCCUCUCUCUUCUCGUCCCCAUCCUCCCCUGUUCCUGUUCUUCUGUCCGGGGAAGACCUUCCAGAUGUCAUCACCCCCAGCAGCAGAGAUGUCUCCUCCCCACCAGGACGGUCAUCAGAUGUCGGUGAGCAGAGCAGCUCAGGGAUCUCAGAGGACACCACCCUGCCUGAUGAGGAUGUACAGGGGAAUCAAAUGUAGGUAACAAGUAGCAUUAAGUUCACCGCCGGUGAAAUUAUGCCAAAAAUGAGUCAUUCAUGUUUGUAAGUUCUCAAUUUGCAUUCCUGCUUCUUUAGAGAAUAAACAUGAAUACAAGCAGCCUCUGUUUGGGGCCGCUGAUGCCUUCACCCCCUUAUAGUCCAUUGUUUAAGGGGUUCUGGUUAUAUUUGUAGAGAUUUACACUUUCCCAAACUUUGGUUGUCUCUACUUUAAAACCUAAUCAUCACGACUAUAUACUCCGGGCUGGUACAUUGUAGGGUGGACAACUGAUUUUGUCGCAAGGGAAACAUGGUAAUCUACCUCGUUCGCACCGGUCAUUGUACAUCUUGUAUUGGAAAACUUUAUUAAGCAUUACGAAUCCAAACACGGAUCCUUCGAGGAAAAGUAUCCUCAGAAGUAAGAGCGUGGAAAAUAUCCGAGUUGAGAGCUCAGUAUGAGAGGUCUACGCGUGUCUUCACACACUCAUUUGCAGGCCAGCAACUUGCAAAUGAAUGCUCACUUAAAGGUUGGGUAUGGAAUUCGCUUUUUUGGCCAUUUUUGCAGAAUUCCUUGAAAUCCUUAUCAUAACCCACUUACAGCCACUGAGUUAGAAGUACUGACAUGCAAAUUAAACAAGUCAAUCAUCUGUGGAACGGGCAGGGCUCGAAAAACUCCAGCCAAUGAUUUCCACAGCCACCGAGUUGCAUUGGACAGUAAGUACGUCAAUCAAACGGUCGUACUGCACUCCCCCUCCCCCGCGCCCCGCGCGCGCAGUACUCGUGACCCAGAGCUCGUGACCCAGAGCAAGCUCCUGUUUGUUGUUAUCCUGCGGUAGCUACUGGAACUAGUUAAUCCAAAUUUGGACCUAGCAGUAGAAGACAAUUUUUUGAUAAUAAAUUGAUAAUAAAAACGCUGAAAGAGAAAAACUGAAAUCAAGAAUAAUCCUAGGCGCUGCUUUCGAACAUUGGCGGCAACUGAAGGACGAGAAGAGUCUAAAAACCGAUGCUUGUGUGGCGGUUGACCUAUUUUCAAAGUUUAUACCGUUUAUACUCGGUAAUACCGGUGUUGAGACGAGUGUAUUACUCGGUGUGAAAAUGUCCACGCGGCAACCCUAGUGAAAACCAGGACUUCCAAUACAAUAUGAAACAAACAUACAUUUUCUAAAAAUAGUAAUGAUUUAUGUGACCGUUUAAUGUUUAUAACAUCUGGUGCAACCAUAGCCGCGGGAACGUUCUCAGGAGGGGCUGCUGGAAAAAAAAAACUCAGCCUGCACUAGAUUCGCAACUCGUUACAUUGAUAAAAAAGAUAUAUAGCAGCGCAGCUUCCUACUUCCUUCACACCAUGGUUCACAUCCAGCUGCUCACAGAACAAGUUUAGCGCACCACCGCUCCCCUCACACUUUUUCAUAUAACCUUUUUUCAGCACUAG